AUUGAACGCUGGCGGCAUGCUUUACACAUGCAAGUCGAACGGUAACAGGCCGCCAGGUGCUGACGAGUGGCGAACGGGUGAGUAAUGCAUCGGAACGUGCCCAGUCGUGGGGGAUAACUACUCGAAAGAGUAGCUAAUACCGCAUACGAUCUAUGGCUGAAAGCGGGUGACCGUAAGGCCUCGCGCGAUUGGAGCGGCCGAUGUCAGAUUAGGUAGUUGGUGGGGUAAAGGCUCACCAAGCCAACGAUCUGUAGCUGGUCUGAGAGGACGACCAGCCACACUGGGACUGAGACACGGCCCAGACUCCUACGGGAGGCAGCAGUGGGGAAUGUUGGACAAUGGGCGCAAGCCUGAUCCAGCAAUGCCGCGUGCAGGAAGAAGGCCUUCGGGUUGUAAACUGCUUUUGUACGGAACGAAACGGCUCUGGUUAAUACCCGGGGCUAAUGACGGUACCGUAAGAAUAAGCACCGGCUAACUACGUG
This 482-nucleotide ribosomal RNA is filed under the name uncultured bacterium. RNAcentral's name for it is "partial 16S ribosomal RNA". It matches the Rfam family "Bacterial small subunit ribosomal RNA", at positions 30 to 507 of the family's 1533-position model. The record is from RNAcentral.